This is a long non-coding RNA of Archocentrus centrarchus (flier cichlid), 273 nucleotides long. RefSeq lists it as uncharacterized. The transcript has 3 exons. NCBI's taxonomy places the organism in Eukaryota, Metazoa, Chordata, Actinopteri, Cichliformes, Cichlidae. The record is from RefSeq and is a predicted model, not a curated record.
GGUGAACUUUGACAACUAUGAAGCAGUUCUAUCUUUUGUGCUGGUGAACAACAACCACUGGAAGUUGCUGUACAUCAAUACAAAUGCCAGCACAGUAUUCCUAAUGGAUCCUGCACAACUGUCAUCAGAGCUCGAGGACUCCAAAAAUGCAGCUAAAAGAAUACAGGAAUACUUCAAGAUGAGAAGGACAUGCCAUGGGAAAACAGAUUGGGUUGGGAUCCGAUGGAAAGGGGGGGCUAUGAGACACCCCAUUCAACAAGAUGGAAGCAGCUG